CUGGAAAAGGAUCAUGGGCGUGGCUGGGCCAGGCAGCACCAUGAGGGCAUCAGCCUCAGGUGGAGCAGGUCCUGGUCAAAGAGCUCCGUGGUCCAGGCCAAGCUGCUAGAGCAGAGCCCGAGGCCCCUGGCAGUGCGGUGUGGGGACCGUCAGCACGCACUGGCUUACGUUCUAGACUCUACGUUCACUUUAGAGGAAAAUUUUAGCAGGAGGAAAGAUUUUGUCAGGCUGAAUUGAUCCAGUUGUGUUUCCAGGGCAUCCAAGCCUCUCCCUGCGGCCCUGGCCCGCCUCCUCCCCAUGCACCAGGCUCUGGCUCCCGGGUACUCCUCCUGCCAUGGGGCCCACGCAGCAGCUACAAUGCAUGCUUUGUUCAGGGAGCCCUGGGGAGGCAGCUGGCUACAAAAAAGUUCAUCCACUAACUGGGCUUGUCCUUGACAUCUGGCUUCUCUCCUAGGACCUCAUUUUCCCCAACUUAAGUGGGAUUUUGAAUUAAUGAAAUUAUAGCCCUUUGAACUGACUUGAGAAUUCUCUCCCAGGCUCAAAUUACAUCUCCACUCAGUGUGUCUAGAUGGCUCCAACACUUUCACAGAUCAUCCCCUCCCAACCCCUAGGAGAUCAUCUACAUUGCUGUUUUCCAGUUGUAGAAGAAUGUGAUUCAAUAGAACCUACUGCCUGAGACAGUGAUAGCAUGUGUGCAUUUAUUGAGAGCACUAUACUAGGCAUUUUAUACUAAUUUUCUCUAAAAUUCACAACCCAUAAGGUAAAUAAUGAUACAAUAUCCCAAUUUUUCUGACAAGGAGACCAAAGCUUUUGUCUACAGUUACUCAGCUAGAGGGUGGCAGAAGCUAGAUUUGAACCCAUAUCCCUCUAAUGCUAAAGCCUGUGAGACUCCACGGUGUCCCUCUAAGUCACAAGUUGUCUGUGAGUGUAUAUUUACAAACACAUGUGGACAAAAAUUUUGAUAGUAGCAUCCACAAACGUCACAUUGAGAUGUGAAACAGGCCUCUAAUAAAUCAGAUCGGGAUAUCUUCUUUGCUUCUCACCUGGCAUGAUGCUGGGUUUGUGGCAAGAUACAAAUAUGUAUAAAGUUGGCCUCCUGUUGCCUCAACACGAGAUGCCUUUACAUCCUAAAAUUGCUAUUACUUAAGUUAAAAUACAUCACACAGUCUACUUCAGCCUGCUUCAGGUCAACUUGUGGUUGUCACAGGGGCCAGCCUCAGAGGUAGACAGAGUUUAGACUUUUCAGUCUUACCCCCAGUGUCCUUCUUCUCUCACUGGGAAUUUCCCUUUGAUAUUCCCACCAAAUACCCUUGCCCUGGAUGGAGUCAUAUUCUCUGAAGUAUCUUCCAUUCAAGGGUCCUAAGAGUCAAGGUCAUUCCUGAUGGAAACACACGCCUAGGAAAAGAAAAUCAACCCUCAAUGUGAUCUAGGUCCUUUAGAUCUAAUUUCCACUUUUUAAAAAAAUCCAAGGGUCAGAGGGACAUGUUAAAUGACACCAUAAGAACAUAGCAGCAAGUCCAGACUGGGGGAAACUGCAGGACAAAUGACCUGGUUUCUUCUCCAAUAAGAAUUUGUAAAGAAAAAAAGGCCAAGUGUAGGUGCCCAUGCCUGUAAUCCUAGCACUUUGGGAAGCUGAGGUGGCGGGAUCGCUCGAGCUCAGGAGUUCAGCCUGGGCCACAUAAUGAGACCUCAUCUCUACUAAAAAUUAAAAAAAAAUUCACUGGGCAUAGUGGCACCCACCUGUAGUCCUGGCUGUUUGGGAGCCUGAGGUGGGAAGAUUGCUUGAGCCCAGGAGGUUGAGGCUGCAGUGAGCCGUGAUUGUGCCACUGCACUCCAGCCUGGGGGACAGAAUGAAACUGUAUUGAAGAAGAAGAACAAGAACAAGAAGAAGAAGAAGAAGAGGAAGAGGAAGAGGAAGAGGAGGAAGAGGAGGAGGAGGAGGAAGAGGAAGAGGAAGAAAGAAGAAGAAGAAGGAGGAUUUAUAGAAUAUGUAGAUAGAAAGAAACUUCAGAGACAAAUCAACCAAUCUCAGUAUAUGAAUCUCUUAUUAAAUCCAGAGUCAAACAAAUGAAGUACAAAUUACAAGACAAUUGGGAAAAUGCAAACACUGGCUGGGUAUAUUAUGAGACUAAG
Molecule: long non-coding RNA, 2133 nt
Filed under: Homo sapiens (human)
Lineage: Eukaryota; Metazoa; Chordata; Mammalia; Primates; Hominidae
Description: HSALNT0023453
Source: RNAcentral